This 227-nucleotide long non-coding RNA is filed under the name Elaeis guineensis (African oil palm). RNAcentral describes it as "long non-coding RNA (EGUI_LNC059143)". Lineage: Eukaryota; Viridiplantae; Streptophyta; Magnoliopsida; Arecales; Arecaceae. The record is from RNAcentral.
AGGAUUGUGAUGGAGGAUAGUGAUCAAUCUAUUCGAGAUCGGUGCACGGUUCACCUCUUAUGGGCAGAUGAGUCUUGGGUCUGCAGUAUAGGGAUACUGGGGUGAGGGUGCAGAUGGUUGUUAGAGAACAACUUGUACUAAACAUGACCAACAUGAGAAAUCACUUGGAUGUCUACUCACUCAUCAGUGGUUGACUCGAUGCUGCAGUGGUGUGAUUGGUCCUUUGA